Molecule: long non-coding RNA, 715 nt
Organism: Caretta caretta (loggerhead turtle)
Lineage: Eukaryota; Metazoa; Chordata; Testudines; Cheloniidae
Source: RefSeq, a predicted model, not a curated record
UCUCCAGAGCAAAACAGCUUGGGAGUGUUUGAGCAUGAAGUGGUGCCAGAGAACUUGUAGUUGAACUGGCCUUAACCCCUACUGCGGAGCUACAAGACAUUAGUACUGGGGAGUCCAAAGAUCUAGACACAAGAAGAAGAAAAACUAAAUGAAAAUCAAAAAUAAAGGGAAAACAUGCUUAAUUUUCUAUCAGCUAAUAGCUGAAUGUUACUCAAAACACUCCAUAUAUUGUUAAACAGUUGCUGCAUAAUGCUGAGAUAUCUUUCUUUCAUGUUAUGUUUAUGCUCUGCAUGACUGUACAAAAUCCUCCUCAUGUCCUGCAAGCUUCUCUGAUGUAAGGCUCAUGAGACCCUUCAGUACCACAAUGAGGUGGAUGAUAAUGAUUGAAGAGAAGGGGAGCUGCUGUUGACUAUUGAGGCACUCCAGGAAACAGUGGAACAAGGUCUGACAAGGCGCUCUUGAAAGAAACCCUUUGAAAAUGAUGAAGGAGGAGGAGUGUGGAGAAGACAAAGCAUCAAAACGGCAGAGUUUGAGUUGAGCCGUUAAAAGUUUACAGGCAAAGAAAGUGUUUGUGUGUUUUGAGGGCAUGGAGAAAAGGAUGGACACCAGUAGAUGUCAUUGGACUGGAGAUGGAGGUGAAUGGAGUAGCUGCCCCCAGACUCAGGAGAAACAGAGGAGCCUGGAGAGACUUUGAAUCAGGCCAAGACUUUCAAAG